RNAcentral lists this ribosomal RNA (320 nucleotides) under uncultured delta proteobacterium. Its description in RNAcentral is "bacterial SSU rRNA". It matches the Rfam family "Bacterial small subunit ribosomal RNA", at positions 227 to 535 of the family's 1533-position model. Lineage: Bacteria; Deltaproteobacteria. The record is from RNAcentral.
GGGUCCGCGUUUCAUUAGCUAGUUGGUAGGGUAAUGGCCUACCAAGGCAACGAUGAGUAGCUGGUCUGAGAGGAUGAUCAGCCACACUGGAACUGAAACACGGUCCAGACUCCUACGGGAGGCAGCAGUGGGGAAUAUUGCGCAAUGGGCGAAAGCCUGACGCASCAACGCCGUGUGAGGGAUGAAGGCUUUCGGGUCGUAAACCUCUGUCGGAAGGGAAGAACGGGSAUUGGUCUAAUAAGYCUUUGUUUUGACGGUACCUUUAUAGGAAGCACCGGUUAACUCCGUGCCUGSAGCCGCGGUAAUACSCGGGCUGGCUG